UGCGUAGGCGGUUUGGUAAGUCAGAUGUGAAAUUCCUGGGCUCAACCGAGGAACUGCAUUUGAUACUGCCAGACUAGAGUACUGGAGAGGAGACUGGAAUUUACGGUGUAGCAGUGAAAUGCGUAGAUAUCGUAAGGAAGGCCAGUGGCGAAGGCGAGUCUCUGGACAGUAACUGACGCUGAGGCACGAAGGCCAGGGGAGCAAACG
RNAcentral lists this ribosomal RNA (207 nucleotides) under uncultured bacterium. RNAcentral describes it as "partial 16S ribosomal RNA". It matches the Rfam family "Bacterial small subunit ribosomal RNA", at positions 568 to 774 of the family's 1533-position model. The record is from RNAcentral.